ACGCAUAUCCCUAUCUUGGGACCGGACCACCAAGGCAGCCAGUAUAUAAACUGAAAGGGGUACUUUUCAAUGGUGCUGCAAGCACUGGUGGAUCACAAGGGACAUUUCACUGACAUCAACAUGAGAUGGCCGGGAAAAGUACAUGACACUUUCAUCUUCAGGAACUCUGGUCUACAUAGAGAGGAGGAGUCCUUGUGGCACUUU
Long non-coding RNA from Chelonia mydas (Green sea turtle), 204 nucleotides. RefSeq lists it as uncharacterized. Lineage: Eukaryota; Metazoa; Chordata; Testudines; Cheloniidae. The record is from RefSeq and is a predicted model, not a curated record. The transcript has 4 exons.